AGAGUUUGAUCCUGGCUCAGAACGAACGCUGGCGGCGUGCCUAACACAUGCAAGUCGAGCGCGAAAGUCCCUUCGGGGGCGAGUAGAGCGGCGGACGGGUGAGUAAUACAUAGGUAAUCUACCUUCGAGCUUGGGAUAACCCCGCGAAAGUGGGGCUAAUACCGGAUAAGACCACGUAACCAUGUUGCGGGGUAAAAGGUGGCUUAUUUUUUAAAUGAGCUAUCACUUGAGGAUGAGCCUAUGGCCUAUCAGCUUGUUGGUGAGGUAAGAGCUCACCAAGGCUAUGACGGGUAGCUGGUCUGAGAGGACGACCAGCCACACUGGGAAUGAGACACGGCCCAGACUCCUACGGGAGGCAGCAGUGGGGAAUAUUGGGCAAUGGGCGAAAGCCUGACCCAGCGACGCCGCGUGGGCGAUGAAGGCCUUCGGGUUGUAAAGCCCUGUCAUGUGGAAAGAACAGUUCCGUGGUGAAUAUCCACGGGAUUUGACGGUACCACAGGAGGAAGCACCGGCUAACUCCGUGCCAGCAGCCGCGGUAAUACGGAGGGUGCAAGCGUUGUUCGGAAUUAUUGGGCGUAAAGGGCGCGUAGGCGGUUGUGAAAGUCAGAUGUGAAAUACUUCGGCUCAACUGAAGAACUGCAUCUGAAACUUCAUAACUCGAGUACAGGAGAGGGAAACGGAAUUCCCGGUGUAGAGGUGAAAUUCGUAGAUAUCGGGAGGAACACCAGUGGCGAAGGCGGUUUCCUGGCCUGAUACUGACGCUGAGGCGCGAAAGCGUGGGGAGCAAACAGGAUUAGAUACCCUGGUAGUCCACGCUGUAAAC
RNAcentral lists this ribosomal RNA (823 nucleotides) under uncultured bacterium. RNAcentral's name for it is "bacterial SSU rRNA". It matches the Rfam family "Bacterial small subunit ribosomal RNA", at positions 8 to 807 of the family's 1533-position model. The record is from RNAcentral.